Molecule: ribosomal RNA, 1040 nt
Filed under: Bacillus subtilis
Lineage: Bacteria; Bacillati; Bacillota; Bacilli; Caryophanales; Bacillaceae
Description: bacterial SSU rRNA
Rfam family: Bacterial small subunit ribosomal RNA
Source: RNAcentral
GCUAUACAUGCAGUCGAGCGGACAGAUGGGAGCUUGCUCCCUGAUGUUAGCGGCGGACGGGUGAGUAACACGUGGGUAACCUGCCUGUAAGACUGGGAUAACUCCGGGAAACCGGGGCUAAUACCGGAUGGUUGUUUGAACCGCAUGGUUCAGACAUAAAAGGUGGCUUCGGCUACCACUUACAGAUGGACCCGCGGCGCAUUAGCUAGUUGGUGAGGUAACGGCUCACCAAGGCGACGAUGCGUAGCCGACCUGAGAGGGUGAUCGGCCACACUGGGACUGAGACACGGCCCAGACUCCUACGGGAGGCAGCAGUAGGGAAUCUUCCGCAAUGGACGAAAGUCUGACGGAGCAACGCCGCGUGAGUGAUGAAGGUUUUCGGAUCGUAAAGCUCUGUUGUUAGGGAAGAACAAGUGCCGUUCAAAUAGGGCGGCACCUUGACGGUACCUAACCAGAAAGCCACGGCUAACUACGUGCCAGCAGCCGCGGUAAUACGUAGGUGGCAAGCGUUGUCCGGAAUUAUUGGGCGUAAAGGGCUCGCAGGCGGUUUCUUAAGUCUGAUGUGAAAGCCCCCGGCUCAACCGGGGAGGGUCAUUGGAAACUGGGGAACUUGAGUGCAGAAGAGGAGAGUGGAAUUCCACGUGUAGCGGUGAAAUGCGUAGAGAUGUGGAGGAACACCAGUGGCGAAGGCGACUCUCUGGUCUGUAACUGACGCUGAGGAGCGAAAGCGUGGGGAGCGAACAGGAUUAGAUACCCUGGUAGUCCACGCCGUAAACGAUGAGUGCUAAGUGUUAGGGGGUUUCCGCCCCUUAGUGCUGCAGCUAACGCAUUAAGCACUCCGCCUGGGGAGUACGGUCGCAAGACUGAAACUCAAAGGAAUUGACGGGGGCCCGCACAAGCGGUGGAGCAUGUGGUUUAAUUCGAAGCAACGCGAAGAACCUUACCAGGUCUUGACAUCCUCUGACAAUCCUAGAAUAGGACGUCCCCUUCCGGGGCAGAGUGACAGGUGGUGCAUGGGUGUCGUCAGCUCCCCUGAGAUG